CUACGGGCUGCACCAGUGAGGAAUUUUGCGCAAUGGGGAAACCCUGACGCAGCGACGCCGCGUGGGUGAUGAAGGCUUUCGAGUCGUAAAGCCCUGUCAAGUGGGAAGAAAGGCAUGGUGGUGAACAGCCACUGUGUUUGACGGUACUACUAAAGGAAGCACCGGCUAACUCCGUGCCAGCAGCCGCAGGUAAUACGGAGGGUGCAAGCGUUGUUCGGAAUUACUGGGCGUAAAGGGCGCGUAGGCGGCGCUGUAAGUCAGAUGUGAAAGUCCACGGCUCAACCGUGGAAGUGCAUCUGAUACUGGAGUGCUUGAGUAUCGGAGGGGAAAGUAGAAUUCCCGGUGUAGAGGUGAAAUUCGUAGAUAUCGGGAGGAAUACCGGUGGCGAAGGCGACUUUCUGGACGAAUACUGACGCUGAUGCGCGAAAGCGUGGGGAGCAAACAGGAUUAGAUACCCGGGUAGUC
Molecule: ribosomal RNA, 465 nt
Filed under: uncultured bacterium
Lineage: Bacteria
Description: partial 16S ribosomal RNA
Rfam family: Bacterial small subunit ribosomal RNA
Source: RNAcentral